This 73-nucleotide transfer RNA is filed under the name Canis lupus familiaris (dog). It matches the Rfam family "tRNA". Rfam says of the family: Transfer RNA (tRNA) molecules are approximately 80 nucleotides in length. The record is from Rfam by way of RNAcentral. Lineage: Eukaryota; Metazoa; Chordata; Mammalia; Carnivora; Canidae. RNAcentral also lists the same sequence under 1 other name.
GCCUGGCUGGCUCAGUUGGUAGAGCACAUAACUCUUGAUCUUGUGGUUGUAAGUUUGAGUCCCAUGUUGGGUA